Non-coding RNA from Camellia sinensis, 1585 nucleotides. The record is from RefSeq and is a predicted model, not a curated record. Lineage: Eukaryota; Viridiplantae; Streptophyta; Magnoliopsida; Ericales; Theaceae.
UAGAUAGAUAGAUAUAAAUAAGUAAAGAAUUAACUAUUAUUUUAAUUAAUUUUUUAAAUUUUUAUAAAAAAAAUAUACAAAAAGUAAAAAGAAAAAUUAAUUUUUUGACAAUAAUUUUUUAACUAAUAGUUAGCAAAACAAUCCCAUAAAUACCAAAUCAGUGAUUGUAUUCCAAAAAGAUGUCACAAUUGCUCUACAAUUGUGUUUGCUGCCACGGUGAAAAGUAUAGAAGGGGGAGUUGUUCUAAGUGGCAGAGCAACUCGUCUCCUCUCAUCUCAGAACUUACUUGGGUCCCUUCCUUACCACUGCAAGCAGCGAAAGAAAUGGAAGGUUUCAAUAUGGAAGGAUCAAAUCCAUCAUCCUUGGUGUAUCUUUGUGUGAGCACAACCAAACUUUCUGGUGAACAAAAAACGAGUUGGUAUAUAAUCAAUUUCAAUGAAGCAGCAUCUAUCCUUGGGCCCUGUCACAAAGAAAAUGGAAAAAGAAGCCAAGAGAAGAGCCAAUCUGGUUAAGAAGAUAGCUGAGAUAUUUAUUAGUGGAGGGAAAGUAGAGGAGAUGGAGGAGUUUUUCUCCACACCGGUCACCCCGGUGUGUGAGACCCCUAAUAUGGCAGCAUUUGGUUGUUUUUAGACUACAUUGGGAUCGGUUGUAUACUGCUUUGGGGCCACACGAGGUAGUCACAAAGUCAAGUAUUGGGCCCUUGCAGAGAUUCAAAAAGGCAUGGAGGUAGCUCCUAGCCGCCGAAGUUGUGGUAAAGCUGUGGGUAUUGAUAGGAAAAUUUGUCUUUGGAGGCACUAAGCCCUGGGGUGGUUCUAGCACCAACUGUAGUUCAAAGGCGUGGGCGGAAGUAUUUCAUGCUUCCAAUAAUGAAUGGAAGCCAUUGAAACAACCUUCCUUCCAUGCGCCCUGUGUAUUUGUUUCUGUUACCCGUGCAUAAUGAAAAAAUCAUUAUUGUUGGAUCACUAUAUAAGCGCUGGUUGUAUGCUUAUUAUGUUUGUCAAGAUUCGUGGGAUGUGGUGGAUGAAAAAUUUGAGCUCAUAUUUCCAUAUUGUGAUCCAGUAUUGGCUAGUCAUACCCUUUAUUGGGUUGGAGAUGAGAUCAUUCAUGCAUAUGAUCUCAAUGAGAGAAAAUAUUUUUGCGGCCGUAUCCAUUUUUGGGCAUUGAAAGAAGUUUUGUUGGUUUUAAGAGAUGAUCCAUGUUUUCCACUACUCUUUUUUCACUUACAUGAUGAAACGUUUUGCCUGAUAUGGGAGGAUUAUGAGUAUUCUGCUGGAUCAAGAGAGGAGUACUCGGUUUGAGUGUGAAGCCAUUGUCUACCGAAUAUUAUCUCCCUGAUGGAAUUGUUAUCAACUCCUUCGAUGGCAUGGUGCUUAACACAGGUGGAAUGGGGGUAACUUCUGGUUCUAGAUAGGACAUUGAAGGUAGAGCAUCUACCAUUGCAUUGUGGGAAUGGUUCGGGAAGGUUCUUGUUUCAAGACACUGCAUGACUAAUUUGAUACUAGUAUUUGUUUUUGUGAAUUUGUUGAACAAUCUGUUUUUAAUGCUUUAUUAUAAGGUAUGUAGAAUCUUGGUUUUCAUUUUCUAA